Molecule: ribosomal RNA, 492 nt
Filed under: uncultured bacterium
Lineage: Bacteria
Description: partial 16S ribosomal RNA
Rfam family: Bacterial small subunit ribosomal RNA
Source: RNAcentral
AGUGAACGCUGGCGGUAGGCCUAACACAUGCAAGUCGAACGGCAGCACAGUAAGAGCUUGCUCUUACGGGUGGCGAGUGGCGGACGGGUGAGGAGUACAUCGGAAUCUACUCUUUCGUGGGGGAUAACGUAGGGAAACUUACGCUAAUACCGCAUACGACCUACGGGUGAAAGCAGGGGAUCUUCGGACCUUGCGCGAUUGAAUGAGCCGAUGUCGGAUUAGCUAGUUGGCGGGGUAAAGGCCCACCAAGGCGACGAUCCGUAGCUGGUCUGAGAGGAUGAUCAGCCACACUGGAACUGAGACACGGUCCAGACUCCUACGGGAGGCAGCAGUGGGGAAUAUUGGACAAUGGGCGCAAGCCUGAUCCAGCCAUACCGCGUGGGUGAAGAAGGCCUUCGGGUUGUAAAGCCCUUUUGUUGGGAAAGAAAAGCAGCAGGUUAAUACCCCGCUGUUCUGACGGUACCCAAAGAAUAAGCACCGGCUAACUUCGUG